Non-coding RNA from Pelobates cultripes (western spadefoot toad), 395 nucleotides. NCBI's taxonomy places the organism in Eukaryota, Metazoa, Chordata, Amphibia, Anura, Pelobatidae. The record is from the annotation of a GenBank genome assembly.
CUGGUUGAUAGUUCUGGUGCUUGGCCUAAUAUUAAACAACUGAACUGUCAUGUCUGAGUAAUAAAACAGUAGUAGUUAAAGUAAAACAGAAUCCUAAGCUAAUAAAAAACCCAUUCCUUAGUAUAGAUAACACACAUGCUUAAGAGACAUUCCAGACAUGGUGAGUACCAUUAAUUAUAAGUAAGGAAUAUCCCGCUAGUUAAGUUGCAGUAUAUAUGACCUCAGGCAAAAUAGAAACUAUAAGGUACUUCAUCACAAUAAUAAAAAGUAGCUUGAUAGUAAACAUAAAGAAAUAAAGUAAAUGUAUUUCUUUGCUUAUGUGUCAAAAAAAAUAACUUCACAGCCAACAAAGACUCUGCGCUGGAAUUGGGAGCCCCUGUUACACAGGCUUUUUC